This 200-nucleotide ribosomal RNA is filed under the name uncultured bacterium. Its description in RNAcentral is "partial 16S ribosomal RNA". It matches the Rfam family "Bacterial small subunit ribosomal RNA", at positions 8 to 231 of the family's 1533-position model. The record is from RNAcentral.
AGAGUUUGAUCCUGGCUCAGGACAAACGCUGGCGGCGUGCGUAACACAUGCAAGUCGAACGGACCGGGCAACCGGUCAGUGGCGGACGGGUGAGCAACACGUGGAUGACCGACCCGGCUCUGGGGAAUACCCGCCCGAAAGGGUGGUUAACUCCGCAUACGCUCGAGAGAGGAAAGUCGAAAGACGGUGCCGGACGGGUC